CGGCGGACGGGUGAGUAACACGUGGGUAACCUACCUAUAAGACUGGGACAACUUCGGGAAACCGGAGCUAAUACCGGAUAAGAUAUCGAACCGCAUGGUUCGAUAGUGAAAGANGGUUUUGCUAUCACUUAUAGAUGGACCCGCGCCGUAUUAGCUAGUUGGUGAGGUAACGGCUCACCAAGGCAACGAUACGUAGCCGACCUGAGAGGGUGAUCGGCCACACUGGAACUGAGACACGGUCCAGACUCCUACGGGAGGCAGCAGUG
Molecule: ribosomal RNA, 266 nt
Filed under: uncultured Staphylococcus sp.
Lineage: Bacteria; Bacillati; Bacillota; Bacilli; Caryophanales; Staphylococcaceae
Description: partial 16S ribosomal RNA
Rfam family: Bacterial small subunit ribosomal RNA
Source: RNAcentral